ACCUGGGUGGCUCAGUAGGUUGAGUGUCUGACUUCGGCUCAGAUCAUGAUCUCAUAGUUCGUGGGUUCAAGCUCCAUGUCAGGCU
This 85-nucleotide transfer RNA is filed under the name Felis catus (domestic cat). It matches the Rfam family "tRNA". From Rfam's summary of the family: Transfer RNA (tRNA) molecules are approximately 80 nucleotides in length. Their secondary structure includes four short double-helical elements and three loops (D, anti-codon, and T loops). RNAcentral also lists the same sequence under 4 other names. The record is from Rfam by way of RNAcentral. Lineage: Eukaryota; Metazoa; Chordata; Mammalia; Carnivora; Felidae.